UGCUUUAGGUCCGCAGGAAUGUGAUGG
This 27-nucleotide non-coding RNA is filed under the name Rattus norvegicus (Norway rat). Lineage: Eukaryota; Metazoa; Chordata; Mammalia; Rodentia; Muridae. The record is from RNAcentral.